RNAcentral lists this ribosomal RNA (468 nucleotides) under uncultured bacterium. RNAcentral describes it as "partial 16S ribosomal RNA". It matches the Rfam family "Bacterial small subunit ribosomal RNA", at positions 28 to 507 of the family's 1533-position model. The record is from RNAcentral.
GACGAACGCUGGCGGCGUGCUUAACACAUGCAAGUCGAACGGAAAGGCCCUGCUUUUGUGGGGUGCUCGAGUGGCGAACGGGUGAGUAACACGUGAGUAACCUGCCCUUGACUUUGGGAUAACUUCAGGAAACUGGGGCUAAUACCGGAUAGGAGCUCCUGCUGCAUGGUGGGGGUUGGAAAGUUUCGGCGGUUGGGGAUGGACUCGCGGCUUAUCAGCUUGUUGGUGGGGUAGUGGCUUACCAAGGCUUUGACGGGUAGCCGGCCUGAGAGGGUGACCGGCCACAUUGGGACUGAGAUACGGCCCAGACUCCUACGGGAGGCAGCAGUGGGGAAUAUUACAAAAUGGGCGGAAGCCUGAUGCAGCAACGCCGCGUGCGGGAUGACGGCCUUCGGGUUGUAAACCGCUUUCGCCUGUGACGAAGCGUGAGUGACGGUAAUGGGUAAAGAAGCACCGGCUAACUACGUG